This 408-nucleotide ribosomal RNA is filed under the name uncultured bacterium. RNAcentral describes it as "partial 16S ribosomal RNA". It matches the Rfam family "Bacterial small subunit ribosomal RNA", at positions 28 to 526 of the family's 1533-position model. The record is from RNAcentral.
GACGAACGCUGGCGUCGUGCUUAACCCAUGCAAGUCGAACGAAGUGUCGCACGGGUGAGUAACGCGUAAUCAACCUGCCCUUCAGAGGGGGACAACAGUUGGAAACGACUGCUCAUACCGCAUACUUAAGGAGGGGAUUUCGUCGGAUUAGCUAGUUGGGGGGGUCACGGCCCACCAAGGCGAUGAUCAGUAGCCGGUCUGAGAGGAUGAACGGCCACAAUGGGACUGAGAAACGGCCCAGACUCCUACGGGAGGCAGCAGUGGGGAAGCUUCCGAAAUGGACGAAAGUCUGACGGAGCAACGCCGCGGGAGGGAUGACGGCCUUCGGGUUGUAAAGCUCUGUUAAUCGGGACGCGGUACCGGAAGAGAAAGCCACGGCGAACUCCGUGCCAGCAGCCGCGGUAAUAC